Molecule: transfer RNA, 82 nt
Rfam family: tRNA
About the family: Transfer RNA (tRNA) molecules are approximately 80 nucleotides in length. Their secondary structure includes four short double-helical elements and three loops (D, anti-codon, and T loops). Further hydrogen bonds mediate the characteristic L-shaped molecular structure. tRNAs have two regions of fundamental functional importance: the anti-codon, which is responsible for specific mRNA codon recognition, and the 3' end, to which the tRNAs corresponding amino acid is attached (by aminoacyl-tRNA synthetases). tRNAs cope with the degeneracy of the genetic code in two manners: having more than one tRNA (with a specific anti-codon) for a particular amino acid; and 'wobble' base-pairing, i.e. permitting non-standard base-pairing at the 3rd anti-codon position.
Source: Rfam
GCCCGUAUAGCUCAGUGGUAGAGCGCAUCACUCGUAUCCCGACGACAUGAUGAGGUCCUUAGUUCGAUCCUGGGUGCGGGCA